Molecule: long non-coding RNA, 1425 nt
Organism: Pieris brassicae (large cabbage white)
Lineage: Eukaryota; Metazoa; Arthropoda; Insecta; Lepidoptera; Pieridae
Exons: 5
Source: RefSeq, a predicted model, not a curated record
UAAUAAUUCAAAAUCUCAAAAUCAAUCCAUUGCUGCGUGUGUAUAUAUACAUCACGGAAUUCACUAAUUACCAUAAUUAAUGUACACAUUAUAUGUUAUAAUUAUAAAUAGUCACAAACGCCACUAGACAUUUAAUUUUGCUUAACGCUAUUUGCAGCGAAAUCGUCAUUAUUAUUGGUCUCUGGUGCACGAUAAACGUCUACUAUGAAGAUAUAUUUAUUGUUUAUAUUCGAAGUUGUCUUAACACAGGUUAUAGACAAGCCAACUCAGGUGAGGGUGUCGCUAUAUGAACCCGAGGGGUUGUUUGUUCAGUGGAGAAUUGUAGAAAAUUUUCAAGUAAAUCCAAUUGUUGGAUAUAAGAUAAGAGUGUGGAAAAUCGAGGAGGAACUACAUGGCUCCUAUACAUUGUUAAGUGGGGAACAACUUGCUAUAAUUUCGGAUGAAAGAUCUGUUGAGCCUUAUAAUAUUGAAGUUCCGAAACAUCCACCUCGAGAAUAUACCACUCCUAACAUAGAUAUAAAUAAUGACUUAAGCAUCAAAAUAACAGAUGGAAUAAAGUACAAUACACUAUAUGAAGUACGUGUUCUGGCAUACAGGAAGGACCUCGAUGGACCAACGUCUCACCCCAUUAGAGUGAAAAUAGUAAAAGGAGAUGGUUAUACAGUGCUAGCUCAGAAGACAUCCUCAAACAACUGUGCAAUCUCGAGUAUUGGUGAAACGACACCUGAAAAUGGUGUUCAAUAUUAUUUUAUUGAAACUGUUAAUUUGUGAAAUAAGAUUGUUAAGCUUUGUUUAUUUUUAAUAAUUGUUAAACUCUAACUGAAUUUAAAAUGAUUAAAUAAAUCACCCUCAAUAUAUGUAACACAGAUAAUAUAUAUUAACACUACAGGGAAAUGCCUAACAUGAACCAAAAGAUCUGAACUUAAAAAUUAUAAGCCAAGUAGAAUCUUUAGUUCAAACACAACAACACAAGCGUUCGAACAGUAUUUGCGGUCACGGAAAGUCCAAUGACAUUUAUCGUGUUGAUAUGAACAAGGCAACAUGAAACGAGUUCUUGUGUUUAUAAUUUGUGCUGGGUUUGUGAUAGAAAAAGAUAUACCAAAUAUUGAAAGUGUAAUAACGUUGUCGGACGGAUUGCUUAUUGAGUGGAGUUGGAAAGGCAACGCUGAUUCUAUAGAUGGUUUUAAAAUAAAAGUCUGGAUUGUUGAAAGCCAACAACAAGGAUAUUUUAAGUUAGUGAAUGGAGACCAAAUACCUGGAUUAACUUUGAAUCACAACGCUUUAGAGGAAUUUGACCAAGAAAAACUACCAAAAAGCAAACCCAGGAUAAUUGUUAUAUCUGAUGCCGAAGCAAGAGAAGUGAAAAUAGAUGGUAUAAAGUAUAACAAAAUGCAUGAAAUAAGAAUACUGACAUACGACGGCCGU